CAUACUUGCUCAAUGGUAGAGCAAUCGUCUCAUAAACGAUUGGUUGCAGGUUCAAAUCCUGCGUAUGACA
Molecule: transfer RNA, 70 nt
Filed under: Leptolyngbya sp. Cla-17
Lineage: Bacteria; Bacillati; Cyanobacteriota; Cyanophyceae; Leptolyngbyales; Leptolyngbyaceae
Also listed under: 1 other name
Description: tRNA-Ile
Rfam family: tRNA
About the family: Transfer RNA (tRNA) molecules are approximately 80 nucleotides in length. Their secondary structure includes four short double-helical elements and three loops (D, anti-codon, and T loops).
Source: RNAcentral